ACUGGGCCUCCAGAGAAGGCCCGUCUCUGUGCGCAGCUGUCUGCACAACGCCUCCUUGUCCGGUCCUCCUCUCUGGCUUCCUUCCUGUCGCUGUCCGGCGCGGCGCCGCCGCCGGCCGUGGCGAGCCCCCUCUGUCCGUCAGGGCGCGACUAUCCUUCGAAGAUUGUCGAGACUCCGCAAAUCAGCUCGGAGAAAGCGGCCUCCCUAAGGCAUCUCCUUGACUACUCUUGUCAUCCCAAGGCAAGAAACGGAGACCGGCGUUCAGAGGGAAGGGUGUAGCCUCCCUUCGCCCGCCUCAACUGUUGCCUCGCUCUCGCCGGAGGAGGAGUCGAUCGCUCGCGCCGGCCGCCGGAGCUCCGCCAUGGCCGAAGAUGGCCCUGCCGGCUACUACGUCGGCCGUCCGAUUAACUACGACGACCAGAAAUCUCAGCCGCCGCCGCCGACGUCCCAGGCCGCCGCCGAGCAGGUCAACGCGCAAGUUCCUGGCUACUACGCCGGCCGUGUGGCCGGCAAGAAAGCCGCCGCCGGCGACCAGAGCUCCGCUGCUGCAGAUCAGACGAGCAAACAAUCGGGCUUCCGUGCCAGCUGUUUCGGAUGCUUCUCCGGCGGUCACACUGCAAAAUAAAUUCAGUCGAGAAGGAUGGGUCAGGAGUCAAGAUGAUGGAUGGCACAUCAUUGUUUGGGAGGAUCGAGAUUUUUUUUUCAAGAUUUUUUUUCCAGCAGUGGCAUUGUCAAUUUGUACAAUCGUAUGCGGAUGCAGAUCAAUGAAUUUAAUUAUUCCGUAUACCUUGAUGUCAAUUUGUACAAGCGUAUGCAGAUGCAGAAUCAAAUAUUUUACCUUUUGGGAAGAACACUGCAUGAAAUGUUAUAUGUACCAUCUAGACUGUAAAUCUGCAACCUAUUUU
Panicum hallii is the source of this 905-nucleotide RNA transcript. RefSeq lists it as uncharacterized. The transcript has 5 exons. NCBI's taxonomy places the organism in Eukaryota, Viridiplantae, Streptophyta, Magnoliopsida, Poales, Poaceae. The record is from RefSeq and is a predicted model, not a curated record.